UACGUAGGGUGCGAGCGUUGUCCGGAAUUAUUGGGCGUAAAGGGCUCGUAGGCGGUCUGUCGCGUCGGCUGUGAAAACUCGGGGCUCAACCCCGAGCCUGCAGUCGAUACGGGCAGACUAGAGUGCUGUAGGGAGACUGGAAUUCCUGGUGUAGCGGUGAAAUGCGCAGAUAUCAGGAGGAACACCGGUGGCGAAGGCGGGUCUCUGGGCGAGUAACUGACGCUGGAGGAGCGAAAGCGUGGGGAGCGAACAGG
RNAcentral lists this ribosomal RNA (254 nucleotides) under uncultured bacterium. Its description in RNAcentral is "partial 16S ribosomal RNA". It matches the Rfam family "Bacterial small subunit ribosomal RNA", at positions 524 to 776 of the family's 1533-position model. The record is from RNAcentral.